GGAGAGAUGGCAGAGUGGCCGAUCGCACCGGUCUUGAAAACCGGAGUACCCGCAAGGGUACCCAGGGUUCGAAUCCCUGUCUCUCCG
RNAcentral lists this transfer RNA (87 nucleotides) under Planctomycetaceae bacterium. Its description in RNAcentral is "tRNA-Ser". It matches the Rfam family "tRNA". From Rfam's summary of the family: Transfer RNA (tRNA) molecules are approximately 80 nucleotides in length. Their secondary structure includes four short double-helical elements and three loops (D, anti-codon, and T loops). The record is from RNAcentral. Lineage: Bacteria; Pseudomonadati; Planctomycetota; Planctomycetia; Planctomycetales; Planctomycetaceae.